AGUGAACGCUGGCGGUAGGCCUAACACAUGCAAGUCGAACGGCAGCACAGGAGAGCUUGCUCUCUGGGUGGCGAGUGGCGGACGGGUGAGGAAUACAUCGGAAUCUACUUUUUCGUGGGGGAUAACGUAGGGAAACUUACGCUAAUACCGCAUACGACCUACGGGGGAAAGCAGGGGACCUUCGGGCCUUGCGCGAUUGAAUGAGCCGAUGUAGGAUUAGCUGGGUGGCGGGGUAAAGGCCAACCAAGGCGACGAUCCGUAGCUGGUAUGAGAGGAUGAUCAGCCACACUGGAACUGAGACACGGUCCAGACUCCUACGGGAGGCAGCAGUGGGGAAUAUUGGACAAUGGGCGCAAGCCUGAUCCAGCCAUACCGCGUGGGUGAAGAAGGCCUUCGGGUUGUAAAGCCCUUUUGUUGGGAAAGAAAUCCAGCUGGCUAAUACCCGGUUGGGAUGACGGUACCCAAAGAAUAAGCACCGGCUAACUUCGUGCCAGCCGCCGCCGUAA
RNAcentral lists this ribosomal RNA (506 nucleotides) under uncultured bacterium. Its description in RNAcentral is "partial 16S ribosomal RNA". It matches the Rfam family "Bacterial small subunit ribosomal RNA", at positions 29 to 523 of the family's 1533-position model. The record is from RNAcentral.